This 491-nucleotide ribosomal RNA is filed under the name uncultured bacterium. Its description in RNAcentral is "partial 16S ribosomal RNA". It matches the Rfam family "Bacterial small subunit ribosomal RNA", at positions 29 to 506 of the family's 1533-position model. The record is from RNAcentral.
AGUGAACGCUGGCGGUAGGCCUAACACAGGCAAGUCGAACGGCAGCACAGUAAGAGCUUGCUCUUACGGGUGGCGAGUGGCGGACGGGUGAGGAAUAGAUCGGAAUCUACUUUUUCGUGGGGGAUAACGUAGGGAAACUGACGCUAAUACCGCAUACGACCUACGGGAGAAAGCAGGGGAUCUUCGGACCUUGCGCGAAUGGAUGAGCGGAUCCCGGAUUCGCUAGUUGGCGGGGUAAAGGCCCACCAAGGCGACGAUCCGUAGCUGGUCUGAGAGGAUGAUCUGCCACACUGCACCUGAGACCCGGUCCAGACUCCUACGGGAGGCCGCCGUGGCGAAUGUUGGCCACUGUGCGCAAGCCUGAUCCAGCCAUACCGCGUGGGUGAAGACGGCCUUCGGGUUGUAAAGCCCUUUUGUUGGGAAAGAAAAGCAGCAGGUUAAUCCCCCGCUGUUCUGACGGUACCCAAAGAAUAAGCCCCGGCUAACUUCGU